UUUCUGGUAGCUCAAUUAGGUUAGAGCAAUUAGCUGUUAACUAAUAAGUUAUAGGUUCAAGUCCUAUCCAGAAAG
This 75-nucleotide transfer RNA is filed under the name Kumanoa mahlacensis. Its description in RNAcentral is "tRNA-Asn". It matches the Rfam family "tRNA". From Rfam's summary of the family: Transfer RNA (tRNA) molecules are approximately 80 nucleotides in length. Their secondary structure includes four short double-helical elements and three loops (D, anti-codon, and T loops). The record is from RNAcentral. Lineage: Eukaryota; Rhodophyta; Florideophyceae; Batrachospermales; Batrachospermaceae.